GACGAACGCUGGCGGCGUGCCUAAUACAUGCAAGUCGAACGAACUCUGGUAUUGAUUGGUGCUUGCAUCAUGAUUUACAUUUGAGUGAGUGGCGAACUGGUGAGUAACACGUGGGAAACCUGCCCAGAAGCGGGGGAUAACACCUGGAAACAGAUGCUAAUACCGCAUAACAACUUGGACCGCAUGGUCCGAGCUUGAAAGAUGGCUUCGGCUAUCACUUUUGGAUGGUCCCGCGGCGUAUUAGCUAGAUGGUGGGGUAACGGCUCACCAUGGCAAUGAUACGUAGCCGACCUGAGAGGGUAAUCGGCCACAUUGGGACUGAGACACGGCCCAAACUCCUACGGGAGGCAGCAGUAGGGAAUCUUCCACAAUGGACGAAAGUCUGAUGGAGCAACGCCGCGUGAGUGAAGAAGGGUUUCGGCUCGUAAAACUCUGUUGUUAAAGAAGAACAUAUCUGAGAGUAACUGUUCAGGUAUUGACGGUAUUUAACCAGAAAGCCACGGCUAACUACGUGCCAGCAGCCGCGGUAAUACGUAGGUGGCAAGCGUUGUCCGGAUUUAUUGGGCGUAAAGCGAGCGCAGGCGGUUUUUUAAGUCUGAUGUGAAAGCCUUCGGCUCAACCGAAGAAGUGCAUCGGAAACUGGGAAACUUGAAUGCAGAAGAGGACAGUGGAACUCCAUGUGUAGCGGUGAAAUGCGUAGAUAUAUGGAAGAACACCAGUGGCGAAGGCGGCUGUCUGGUCUGUAACUGACGCUGAGGCUCGAAAGUAUGGGUAGCAAACAGGAUUAGAUACCCUGGUAGUCCAUACCGUAAACGAUGAAUGCUAAGUGUUGGAGGGUUUCCGCCCUUCAGUGCUGCAGCUAACGCAUUAAGCAUUCCGCCUGGGGAGUACGGCCGCAAGGCUGAAACUCAAAGGAAUUGACGGGGGCCCGCACAAGCGGUGGAGCAUGUGGUUUAAUUCGAAGCUACGCGAAGAACCUUACCAGGUCUUGACAUACUAUGCAAAUCUAAGAGAUUAGACGUUCCCUUCGGGGACAUGGAUACAGGUGGUGCAUGGUUGUCGUCAGCUCGUGUCGUGAGAUGUUGGGUUAAGUCCCGCAACGAGCGCAACCCUUAUUAUCAGUUGCCAGCAUUAAGUUGGGCACUCUGGUGAGACUGCCGGUGACAAACCGGAGGAAGGUGGGGAUGACGUCAAAUCAUCAUGCCCCUUAUGACCUGGGCUACACACGUGCUACAAUGGAUGGUACAACGAGUUGCGAACUCGCGAGAGUAAGCUAAUCUCUUAAAGCCAUUCUCAGUUCGGAUUGUAGGCUGCAACUCGCCUACAUGAAGUCGGAAUCGCUAGUAAUCGCGGAUCAGCAUGCCGCGGUGAAUACGUUCCCGGGCCUUGUACACACCGCCCGUCACACCAUGAGAGUUUGUAACACCCAAAGUCGGUGGGGUAACCUUUUAGGAACCAGCCGCCUAAGGUGGGACAGAUGAUUAGGGUG
Molecule: ribosomal RNA, 1489 nt
Filed under: Lactiplantibacillus argentoratensis
Lineage: Bacteria; Bacillati; Bacillota; Bacilli; Lactobacillales; Lactobacillaceae
Description: bacterial SSU rRNA
Rfam family: Bacterial small subunit ribosomal RNA
Source: RNAcentral